GAUGAAGAACGUAGCGAAAUGCGAUACGUAGUGUGAAUUGCAGAAUUCAGUGAAUCAUCGAAUCUUUGAACGCACAUUGCACCUCUCGGUAUUCCGGGAGGUAUGCCUGUUCGAGCGUCAUUUGUACCUUCAAGCUCUGCUUGGUGUUGGGUGUUUUGUCUCGCCUCUGCGUGUAGACUCGCCUUAAAACAAUUGGCAGCCGGCGUAUUGAUUUCGGAGCGCAGUACAUCUCGCGCUUUGCACUCAUAACGGCGACGUCCAAAAGUACAUUUUUACACUCUUGACCUCGGAUCAGGUAGGGAUACCCGCUGAACUUAAGCAUAUCAAUAAGCGGAGGA
This 338-nucleotide unclassified non-coding RNA is filed under the name soil metagenome. Its description in RNAcentral is "partial contains 5.8S ribosomal RNA, internal transcribed spacer 2, and large subunit ribosomal RNA". The stretch from base 1 to 120 matches the Rfam family "5.8S ribosomal RNA", at positions 35 to 154 of the family's 154-position model. The record is from RNAcentral.